AUUUAAAUACAUCUUAUGUUGAGGUUCAAC
Molecule: non-coding RNA, 30 nt
Organism: Clostridium autoethanogenum DSM 10061
Lineage: Bacteria; Bacillati; Bacillota; Clostridia; Eubacteriales; Clostridiaceae
Source: Rfam